Molecule: ribosomal RNA, 306 nt
Filed under: uncultured bacterium
Lineage: Bacteria
Description: partial 16S ribosomal RNA
Rfam family: Bacterial small subunit ribosomal RNA
Source: RNAcentral
GACAGCAGUCGCCGCGGUAAUACGAAGGGUGCAAGCGUUACUCGGAAUUACUGGGCGUAAAGCGUGCGUAGGUGGUGGUUUAAGUCCGUUGUGAAAGCCCUGGGCUCAACCUGGGAAUUGCAGUGGAUACUGGGUCACUAGAGUGUGGUAGAGGAUAGUGGAAUUUCCGGUGUAGCAGUGAAAUGCGUAGAGAUCGGAAGGAACAUCUGUGGCGAAGGCGACUAUCUGGGCCAACACUGACACUGAGGCACGAAAGCGUGGGGAGCGAACAGGAUUAGAUACCCGCGUAGUCCCUGUCUCUUAUAC